GCUAGCUCUUAUAAUUAGUCAAAUGAAUUGGAUUGUGACACAUUUUGACCAUAGAAACACUAACAAAUCUAUUGAGUUGUUCUAAGCAAGUUUUGUUGGUUUUAUCCUCUUUUGGGAGGAAAUGGGUAUAAGUGUUGUCUAAACACUUCUUAUCCAUCUCUAACUCUUAUAAUUAGUCAAAUGCAUUGGAUUGUGUCACAUUUUGACCAUAGAAACACUAACAAAUCUAUUGACUGCUUCUAAGCAAGUUUUGUUGGUUAAGACUCUUUUGGGAGAAAAUAGGUAUAAGUGUUGUCUAAACACUCCUAAUCCAUCUCUAACUAUUAUAAUUAGUCGAAUGCAUUGGAUUGUGAUACCUUUUGACCAUAAAAACACUAACAAAGUUAUUUACUACUUCUAAGCAAUAUUUUGUUGGUUAAAGCUUCUUUUGUGAGUAAAUGGGUAUAAGUGUUGUCUAAACACUCCUAAUCCAUCGCUAGCUCUUAUAAUUAGUCAAAUGCAUUGGAUUGUGACACAUUUUGACCAUAAAAACACUAACAAAGCUAUUUAGUUCUUCUAAGCAAGUUUUGUUGGUUUUAUCCUCUUUUGGGAGGAAAUGGGUAUAAGUGUUGUCUAAACACUUCUUAUCCAUCUCUAACUCUUAUAAUUAGUCAAAUGCAUUGGAUUGUGUCACAUUUUGACCAUAGAAACACUAACAAAUCUAUUGACUGCUUCUAAGCAAGUUUUGUUGGUUAAGACUCUUUUGGGAGAAAAUAGGUAUAAGUGUUGUCUAAACACUCCUAAUCCAUUUCUAACUCUUAUAAUUAGUCGAAUGCAUUGGAUUGUGAUACAUUUUGACCAUAGAAACGCUAACAAAUCUAUUGACUGCUUUUAAGCAAGUUUUGCUUGUUUUAGCCUCUUUUGGGAGAAAAUGGGUAUACGUCUUGGCUAAAGACUCCUAAUCUAUCUCUAACUCUAUCAUUAGUCAAAUGCAUUUG
Molecule: small RNA, 977 nt
Filed under: Arabidopsis thaliana (thale cress)
Lineage: Eukaryota; Viridiplantae; Streptophyta; Magnoliopsida; Brassicales; Brassicaceae
Description: ATSL036940
Source: RNAcentral